Molecule: ribosomal RNA, 172 nt
Filed under: uncultured bacterium
Lineage: Bacteria
Description: partial 16S ribosomal RNA
Rfam family: Bacterial small subunit ribosomal RNA
Source: RNAcentral
CCUACGGGAGGCAGCAGUGGGGAAUAUUAGGCAAUGGGCGCAAGCCUGACCCAGCAACGCCGCGUGAGGGAAGAAGGUCUUCGGAUUGUAAACCUCUGUCCUUGGGGACGAAAAAAAUGACGGUACCCAAGGAGGAAGCUCCGGCUAACUACGUGCCAGCAGCCGCGGUAAU